CCUACGGGAGGCAGCAGUGAGGAAUAUUGGUCAAUGGACGAGAGUCUGAACCAGCCAAGUAGCGUGAAGGAUGACUGCCCUAUGGGUUGUAAACUUCUUUUAUAUGGGAGUAAAAUGUUCCACGUGUGGGAUUUUGUAUGUACCAUAUGAAUAAGGAUCGGCUAACUCCGUGCCAGCAGCCGCGGUAAUACGGAGGAUCCGAGCGUUAUCCGGAUUUAUUGGGUUUAAAGGGAGCGUAGGUGGAUUGUUAAGUCAGUUGUGAAAGUUUGCGGCUCAACCGUAAAAUUGCAGUUGAAACUGGCAGUCUUGAGUACAGUAGAGGUGGGCGGAAUUCGUGGUGUAGCGGUGAAAUGCUUAGAUAUCACGAAGAACUCCGAUUGCGAAGGCAGUUCACUGGACUGAAACUGACACUGAGGCUCGAAAGUGUGGGUAUCAAACAGGAUUAGAUACCCCUGUAGUC
RNAcentral lists this ribosomal RNA (460 nucleotides) under uncultured bacterium. RNAcentral's name for it is "partial 16S ribosomal RNA". It matches the Rfam family "Bacterial small subunit ribosomal RNA", at positions 338 to 795 of the family's 1533-position model. The record is from RNAcentral.